CUCGGGGGUCAUCUGUCCAGCAGGGAAUACUUUCAAAGUUAUUAAGAACUUUUGAAAGUGAAACGUUGUGACUUGUAAAAUAAUUGAAAAGAACCACUCCUGAAGAAAAAGAAAAAAAAGAACCAUAUUUUUCCAAACUAGUAGAGGUUUUUCGCGUAAUGGAAAGGAACAUAAUACCGUUAGAAAAUGAUGAACUUAUAUAUAUAUAUGUACUCAACAACAGCAAUUGAGGGCUUUUCAUUCAGGGUAGCAGUGGGGUACAUGAGAAAUGUAGCAGGAAACAAAACUGGCACGGAAAACUUCACAUGGACCAGGACAUGAGCUGACAGCAACGCUCAGCACAGCGCCACCGUGCCGCUCAAUUUACUUCAUAGGAAUGCAUCUGCGGUGGCACUUGGCCUGCCUUAGAGAGGAUAUGUUGUCACAUAUGAUGGGCCUGCUCCAGAAGAAGCUGCCAGUUUGGAGAACAGUUAUUUUUCUGGUUCCAACUUUCCACGCUUUUAUCUUAUGUUAUAAUAUGUUAGGGGCAAUCCAAAAUGACUCCAAAAUAAAUGGGGUUUAAGUUCAUGUUCAAAUGUUGGCAAUUCAUGACAACAUUUAUCUCCCUCUUUGUGCCGGCAUUGUUGAGAUGAAAAGACUUAAAAACCAUUUUCUUGAGUCUGGUUGAAGGCACUAAGUUCCUUGGAAAUGAGAAAUCCUGAUCAUACCUUUCAUGAGAAUGGAUUCAAUCUCCUGAAAUUCUUGAAGGCUGUACAGAACAGCAGAUUUCAUUUGUAAAGUAACCUUCUCAACUGUGUUUUAGGGAAAUCAUUUAUAAACCGGUUGAAUAAUGAUGGCCGUCUAGGAGACCGAUUCACUAAAAAGAAACCAAUCAUAAUAGAUUGAUUCAUACAAGAGAGCUGUGACCAAUAAGUAUGUCUUUUUAUAGAAAUACACAUAGCUGGUGUUAGAUUUACCGCUUUCUUUUCCCUCCAUAUCCUUGCUUUUAGUUUUUUCUGUGUUUUCUUCCAUUUUAUCUUAUAUCCAUGUUUCCAUAAUUCAGUCCUCCUGCAUGUCACCAAAUUUUGCUGUGGUAUUAGUUCAUAUUCUGCAAAUGUGUUCUUCAGCUCCCUGUUGUGCUUUUCCUUUUGUAAGAUUUGCAGUCUUUGGCCAUUUUGUUUUUUUAUUUUUCUGUCUUUUUCUUGAUUUUAUUACAUCAUCUCAUCAAAGAUGGCAGUGUUGGACCUUUCCAACAACAAAAGGAGAGACUCAAAAAAUGUCUGUUAUCGAAAGAAAGCAUAUUAUUUAUGGGUUUUUAAAAUUUUUUCUUUGGAAGCAAAUUGAUUGAUUAUGAAUUUGGGUUUUUUGUUUUGGUUUUUAGGAAUCCUAAUCUCUAGUUAUUAAACCCUUCAAUUUUUCAUGACCUCACUUUUGUACUGCCACAAAAUCAAGUUCUGUCAUUAAACUAAUAACUAAUCAUGUUGUUUGCACUUUUCACAGAUGAUCACUACACGCUCCUUUCUUUCCAUCACUGCAUCAUUUCACUUUUUACCUCUUUAAUUUAGUGUUGUGCCCUGUAAUGGACUGGCUUCUAAUUCAAAGAUGGUUCUUGACUUGUGUUUGAUGCUCUGAGGAUCAGUUCUGUCUCCCACAAAUCUGAAUUGAAAUGAAUGAAGGGGUAUUUUAAUUUUUUAAGAUGCCAAGUUAUGCACAAACUAGAUGGCCAAUAGGCAGCUAGGAAAGUUGGAAUUUGCAGCAGGACAGCUAUGGAGUGGCUAUAAGUAAACUUUGGAGAUCAUUCUGAGUGAGCAGACCCCCCUUUAUAAAAAGAUGGCUUGGUUGAUUCCCAAACAUAAUACAACUUGUUGUUCGAAUAGUGCACUCUGGGGUGCCCUUUAAGGAAGAAAAGAAAACUCAGCAGAAACAUUCUGCAAGGACACUUCAAUUAACCAAAUCAGUUUUAGUAUCAAAUGUUCUUAAUCCAGCCAAAAAUAACGAGACUCUGAAUGAGUCCUUUGCAAAAACGGGCAGUUAAUUCUGUCCACACCUAGCGAUGCAAGUUAAGCUCCGUACACAAAGCAUAUCGUAUCAACUCUGUAAUGCUGCCAAACAAAAAUCAGGAAGUUCUUUUUUAAAGAAUGGCCUGUAUUCCUGAUGAUAAGCUAGAUGGAAGCUAAAUAAUGUUUUCACAGACGCUUGAUACAUUUGGUCAUAGGCGUUCUUGAUUGUUUCACUGGGUGAUUUAAUUGCAAUGGCAUAUGUUUAUGCAUAUUUCCAGUGUUGCUCAUAGGCAGGCAAAUUGGGGUUUUUACUGAUGAUUGGGAGCAGUGAUCAUUAUUUUCAGAAACAUAGAUAUUCAAUAAAGUAUUGUACUCAUACAUUACUGAGCGGUAUGAAGGGCAGAUAGUUCAAUGGGAAGUAAGAGGAGGGAGCAUCAUUUAGGAGAUCUUGGAGGUAACUGAAUCUCAAGAACACAUGAUCAUGUGUGUAGUAUUGAGUGAUAAAAUAAUUCAUCAUCAACCUAUGCACCUUUUGCUCAAGUUUUUAUGGUUAUCUAAAAGGAGCCUACCCCAGCAACAAAACAGGACUCAAACAUGAAUUGGAUUGAUACAGUCAUGGGCGUUUCCAUGGAUGAUAUUAAGCUGUCUGAUCAACCUACAGUAAGAUGGAAACACAUGAAAAUACUAGGACAAGAGAUCAAUGAGAAUUGGGACACUAUGAGCUAAUUCAUGCAAUCCAUUUAAUAGUGGUGUUUCUAAGAAAGAAAGCAUUGUGGCUGGUGGCACAUUUUAUUCUUACUCCAGUUGAUUGAGGUCUUUCUGACUGGAGACAUAAGUGAAGGACUCUAAGAUUUCUGGGCCAACCUCAGAUUUUGAUCCCAUGCAGUACUCCAGCUGAACUCAAUGAGUGACAGGCUUACUGCUUGCACACAACAAAGAACAUUUCUUUGGACUGUAUUUAAAAACCUACUUCAGCAUGGAGAGAACAUGAAAACUCCAUACUGGAGGCCCCAUGACAAACAUAAUUAUUAUUAUUUAAACAGUCACCUUUAUCCAAGGCAACUUAUAAAGCAAGUUUAAUACAUACAAGAAUAAAGUUGCAAGCAUCAAAGCAACAGAGAAAAGAAUAAUAAAAUGAGCACAAGGGGGGUAUAAUGACUUCAUAAUUACCUACUACAAUAAUAAGACAAAAACACACGAAAAUCAGUAUCCUAAACUGUUUGUCAGUACAACAGCAGCUAACCUAUAGGAGAAAGUUUAAGCAGACCCAAAAUAUUUAAUGGAAAGUUGUUUUCUACAAUGUAAUCUAGGCAUUAGGAGUUUUCCACUAUGGCACUCUAUAAUAAAAAAAUGAAUUGAAUGAAUCAGUUAGAAUGGAUCUGUUUGCUUACUCACAAUACUUUGCCUCUGAAUUAAUAUUGAGCAGUAUUUCUUUCUGUUUAGUGUUUGUCUGUUAAUUCUGAGAACUCUGGUUUCGAUUCACAUAUGUACUACCAAAUUGAUUGAAACUAUAAAUGUAUCCUGUGUGAAUGUAUAUGCUCUGUGAAGGUUGGCUUCUUUAAAUCUGCUGC
Molecule: long non-coding RNA, 3550 nt
Organism: Erpetoichthys calabaricus (reedfish)
Lineage: Eukaryota; Metazoa; Chordata; Cladistia; Polypteriformes; Polypteridae
Exons: 3
Source: RefSeq, a predicted model, not a curated record